Molecule: transfer RNA, 74 nt
Filed under: Podarcis lilfordi (Lilford's wall lizard)
Lineage: Eukaryota; Metazoa; Chordata; Lepidosauria; Squamata; Lacertidae
Description: tRNA.Undet
Source: RNAcentral
GCCUGGAUAGCUCAGUUGGUUAGAGUGUGAUGCUGAUAAUACUAAGGUUGCAGGUUUGAUCCCCAUAUGGGACA